AUGCCCAAGUUCAACGGAAGCAACGAUCCCGAAGAGUACCUAUCAUGGGCAUUGAAAGUUGACAAUAUCUUCCGUUUGCACAACUACGACGAAGAGAAGAAGAUCGCGAUGGCAUCCCUUGAGUUUCAAGAUUAUGUCCUCAUUUGGUGGGAACAAAUUAUCGAGCGCCGAGAGGCAAGAGGUGAACCACCCAUCACUACUUGGGCGCAAAUGAAGGAUGUCAUGAGAGCACGCUUUGUGCCUACCUACUACAACCGCGACCUCUUCAAGAAACUCCAACUACUCAAGCAAGGAACCAAGAGCAUUGAAGAGUACUACAAGGAGAUGGAGAUUGCCAUGAUACGAGCCAAUGUCAUGGAAGAUGAUGAGAAAACUAUGGCACAUUUCUUCAAUGGACUCAACCAUCCUAUCAAGAAGAUCACUGACUUCCAAGCAUACUCGAACCUCAUCGAGCUAGUGCAUCAAGCUACAAAGGCGGAAUGUCAAGUGCAAGACGAUUUCAAGUAUGCCAAGUUCUCAUCCAAGUCCUACGGCUUCUCCAACAACCAAGCUUCAACGACUCCAACACUGUCUAUCAAGCCUUCUACAAGCAACGUCGACAAGUCGAGUUCCAAGAAAGCUUCGGUAACUUCAAGUCAUCCUCCUACUACGAGCAACUUCAAGCCGAGAGCUUCAUCAUCAUCCUCUCCAACCGAUGAGACCGUCAAGACGAGCUCCUUCAAAUGCUUCACAUGCUGA
Molecule: ribosomal RNA, 738 nt
Filed under: Triticum aestivum (bread wheat)
Lineage: Eukaryota; Viridiplantae; Streptophyta; Magnoliopsida; Poales; Poaceae
Description: partial small subunit ribosomal RNA
Source: RNAcentral